Molecule: ribosomal RNA, 654 nt
Filed under: Hylophorbus sp. LAO-2013b
Lineage: Eukaryota; Metazoa; Chordata; Amphibia; Anura; Microhylidae
Description: partial 12S ribosomal RNA
Rfam family: Bacterial small subunit ribosomal RNA (bases 1-467)
Source: RNAcentral
GGAUUACGAGCCCAAGCUUAAAACCCAAAGGACUUGACGGUUUCCCAUCCCCCUAGAGGAGCCUGUUCUAUAAUCGAUUUUCCCCGAUCAACCUUACCACUUCUCGAACACACAGCCUGUAUACCUCCGUCGCAAGCUUACCCUAUGAAAGCAUAUUUAGUGAGCUUAAAGAUUCUUUACACCCACACGUCAGGUCAAGGUGCAGCCCAUGAGCUGGAAAGAAAUGGGCUACAAUUUCUACUUUAGAACAAACGAAAGACUGCAUGAAACACAGUUACUGAAGGCGGAUUUAGUAGUAAAAAGAAAAUAGAGAGUUCUUUUUAAUUGGGCACUAGGAUGCGUACACACCGCCCGUCACCCUCUUCAAAUAUAAAAUUUUUUAACGUUUAUAACCCCACAUUUUUUACAGAAGAGGCAAGUCGUAACAUGGUAAGCGUACUGGAAAGUGCGCUUGGAACAAAAUGUAGCUUAAUAUAAAGCAUCUUGCUUACACCAAGAACAUGUCUGUAAAAAUCUGACCACUUUGAGCCUAAAACACAGCCCUAUACUACCAAAUGUAACACCCAUUAAUAAAUAACCUAACUAAAACAUUUUCUCAACCAAGUAAAGGCGAUUAAAAAGUUUAUAGGAGCCUCAACAUCAGUACCGCAAGGG